GACGAACGCUGGCGGCGUGCUUAACACAUGCCAGUCGAACGGAAAGGCCCUGCUUUUGUGGGGUGCUCGAGUGGCGAACGGGUGAGUAACACGUGAGUAACCUGCCCUUGACUUUGGGAUAACUUCAGGAAACUGGGGCUAAUACCGGAUAGGAGCUCCUGCUGCAUGGUGGGGGUUGGAAAGUUUCGGCGGUUGGGGAUGGACUCGCGGCUUAUCAGCUUGUUGGUGGGGUAGUGGCUUACCAAGGCUUUGACGGGUAGCCGGCCUGAGAGGGUGACCGGCCACAUUGGGACUGAGAUACGGCCCAGACUCCUACGGGAGGCAGCAGUGGGGAAUAUUGCACAAUGGGCGGAAGCCUGAUGCAGCAACGCCGCGUGCGGGAUGAAGGCCUUCGGGUUGUAAACCGCUUUCGCCUGUGACGAAGCGUGAGUGACGGUAAUGGGUAAAGAAGCACCGGCUAUCUACGUG
Molecule: ribosomal RNA, 468 nt
Filed under: uncultured bacterium
Lineage: Bacteria
Description: partial 16S ribosomal RNA
Rfam family: Bacterial small subunit ribosomal RNA
Source: RNAcentral